UGAGGAAUAUUGGGCAAUGCCCGCAAGGGUGACCCAGCAACGCCGCGUGGAGGAUGAAUGUCGUAAGAUUGUAAACUCCUGUUAGAGGGGAAGAAUAGUACCGGUUGGACCGGUAUAUGACUGUACCCUCAGAGAAAGCCCCGGCUAACUACGUGCCAGCAGCCGCGGUAAUACGUAGGGGGCAAGCGUUGUCCGGAUUUACUGGGUGUAAAGGGCGCGCAGGCGGGAUAAAAAGUCAGUGGUGAAAUCCUACGGCUUAACUGUAGAACUGCCUUUGAUACUUUUAUUCUUGAGUUCGGGAGAGAGAGACGGAAUUCCAGGUGUAGUGGUGAAAUACGUAGAUAUCUGGAAGAACACCAGUUGCGAAGGCGGUCUCUUGGUCCGACACUGACGCUGAGGCGCGAAAGCGUGGGGAGCAAACA
RNAcentral lists this ribosomal RNA (422 nucleotides) under uncultured bacterium. Its description in RNAcentral is "bacterial SSU rRNA". It matches the Rfam family "Bacterial small subunit ribosomal RNA", at positions 355 to 774 of the family's 1533-position model. The record is from RNAcentral.